GGCAGGGCUGGGGAUGUGACUGCCCCUUGUCCAGAGAGAGGCUGGCCCACAAUAGGUGUCCAAGGAGAAUCAGAAUGGGUUUACGCUAUAUUGUUAGAGGUGGUUAGAUUUCAAGCUGCCUUUAUGAAUAUGGCUCAGUGCUUUGGCAGAGACCAAAUAUGCCAGAGAGGAGAGUGUCUCGCCGGCUCUGCACUUUGAAUAUUCUCCUUCACGCAAAACAAAACGAAACAAAAAUGUUGCCUAUUUAUCACAAGAAGCUUUUGGGGUUGGCAGUAGAUGAAAACUGUGUGUGCUUAAGGGUCUCCAAGAAUACACUGACUCUUCCUCGCUUUAAUGAAAAGGGCCAGUAUCACAGAUCUGCAGUAGAAACUGUGUAAUUUUGAAUACCAACCUGGAGGUCAGCGUCUUCCUGAGGCUAAGCCCCCGCACCUGCUCAACCCCAGGUUUGAGGCUGGAAGCACCAGAUCGAAGCCUGGCAAAGGAGACGCCCUUUUAUUUCAGGCUGCACAGACAUAUUUCCUCAAGGGUACCCUUGUUUAGAGUGAUUUUUAGGAAACAUACUGCUAAACCCCCAGCUGCUGCUUCUAUACCGUAAUGUGUGGUUGGAGGUUAGGGCUCAGCUGCUUUCUCGAUGAGGACGUCAAUGAACCCAGACAGACGUUCAGGCUGCUGAGUCCGCACUGCUGCGGUGCUGGCUCUAUGUGGUGUAUUUUGUCUAGGAAAGAAAUGUCUAGCCAAGAACAUAGCUAACCCAAACCAAUCACACCCCAACACUCCUAACUUGUCUCCUAUCUGCACAUUUCCAUGUUAGGAAGGAAAGAAUGAAAACUGCCCGAUAUUAGAGUCUGCCCCGCCGAGGGUAGCACUCAAAUCUAGAUUUAGCCUUUUUUCCAGAGGCUUAGCUGUUUUUGGUCCUUUCAACUGGGUAAAAAGUUAAACUAAUUUCUCCACAAUGCCUUAGGGUGCUUUGUAUUCAAUAAAUAGUAAAUAAGUAACAUAAUUA
Molecule: long non-coding RNA, 1003 nt
Organism: Pan troglodytes (chimpanzee)
Lineage: Eukaryota; Metazoa; Chordata; Mammalia; Primates; Hominidae
Exons: 3
Source: RefSeq, a predicted model, not a curated record